CAGUCGCCACGGAAUACGAGGGGGGCAAGCGUUGUUCGGAAUUAUUGGGCGUAAAGGGUGCGUAGGCGGUUUGAUAAGUCUUAUGUGAAAGCCCCCGGCUCAACCUCGGAACUGCCUUCAAUACUGGCGAUCUUGAGUAUGAGAGAGGUGUGUGGAACUCCGAGUGUAGAGGUGAAAUUCGUAGAUAUUCGGAAGAACACCAGUGGCGAAGGCGACACACUGGCUCAUUACUGACGCUGAGGCUCGAAAGCGUGGGGAGCAAACAGGAUUAGAUACCCGCGUAGUCCCUGUCUCUUAUACA
RNAcentral lists this ribosomal RNA (301 nucleotides) under uncultured bacterium. RNAcentral describes it as "partial 16S ribosomal RNA". It matches the Rfam family "Bacterial small subunit ribosomal RNA", at positions 509 to 808 of the family's 1533-position model. The record is from RNAcentral.